AUUGAGCUGCUCGAAGGCCGAUGAGGUCUGUCUCCUAGUUGCGGCCACUGUCUAAGGUGGUGAAUCAUUCAGUGAAUCAAUGCUCUUGGAGUAAUCCUAAGCUGUCAGCUGCUGGUGGUAUUCUAUGUUAUCAUCGGAGUGUGGUUCUAACAGCUUUUAGCUUUUUUUUUUUCUUAGGUACCAACCGAUUCUUUAUGCUGAGCAAAUGGCUAUUUGUGAGCAUUUGGAGCUUGCUACUCAGCUUGAUUACCUUGUACCUGAGGUGGAGUUUAACUCGGCUACAAUGGUUUCUUGGAUUACUUCUCGUGGUUCUGUGCAAUAGGUUUGUGUCUAUUUUCUUGGUUGAGUCCAAGCCAUGUCUUAUUCUCUCUCUUUCAUGGUCAGUCAUGUUUUUCGUGAGCCUACUCGUGCAGUUGAUUUUUUAUGACUAAUUGAGCUUGUUCUCUCUUUCACGGUUCAUUAGUGUUUCUUGAGUCCUCAGGGUUUGCAUAUUGAUUUGCUUUUUUUUUUUUUUCCAUUCUUCUAGAUGCGUAGGAGUUCCCUAAUGUUAGGAUUUAGUUUUACUCUUUGUUAGUUUGCUUUUGAUUGUUGUUUUUAGGUUUUAUGUUUCGUUUGAUGAUCUAUAAGUAGGAUUCCUUCCUAACCCCCACCAUUAC
This 656-nucleotide long non-coding RNA is filed under the name Citrus x clementina. RNAcentral describes it as "Citrus clementina (C. clementina) long non-coding RNA (CCLE_LNC006537)". The record is from RNAcentral. Lineage: Eukaryota; Viridiplantae; Streptophyta; Magnoliopsida; Sapindales; Rutaceae.